Molecule: ribosomal RNA, 450 nt
Filed under: uncultured bacterium
Lineage: Bacteria
Description: bacterial SSU rRNA
Rfam family: Bacterial small subunit ribosomal RNA
Source: RNAcentral
GUGGGGAAUAUUGGACAAUGGGCGAAAGCCUGAUCCAGCCAUGCCGCGUGUGUGAAGAAGGUCUUCGGAUUGUAAAGCACUUUAAGUUGGGAGGAAGGGCAGUAAGUUAAUACCUUGCUGUUUUGACGUUACCGACAGAAUAAGCACCGGCUAACUUCGUGCCAGCAGCCGCGGUAAUACGAAGGGUGCAAGCGUUAAUCGGAAUUACUGGGCGUAAAGCGCGCGUAGGUGGUUUUGUAAGUUGGAGGUGAAAUCCCCGGGCUCAACCUGGGAACUGCCUCAAAAACUGCAUGACUAGAGUACGGUAGAGGGUAGUGGAAUUUCCUGUGUAGCGGUGAAAUGCGUAGAUAUAGGAAGGAACACCAGUGGCGAAGGCGACUACCUGGACUGAUACUGACACUGAGGUGCGAAAGCGUGGGGAGCAAACAGGAUUAGAAACCCGGGUAGUCC